This 659-nucleotide long non-coding RNA is filed under the name Physcomitrium patens. RNAcentral's name for it is "long non-coding RNA (PPAT_LNC008340)". Lineage: Eukaryota; Viridiplantae; Streptophyta; Bryopsida; Funariales; Funariaceae. The record is from RNAcentral.
GUAAAUUGAAGAAGUCAAAGAAAAAGAAAAAGAAAACUUCCAUCUUCCCUUAAUUUUUAAGUCGAAAACUAAGAUUUUUGUUUCCGAGCCCUGUUCCUAUCCUUCUGAACAGGAGUUGCCCAAAGAGAGCAAUUUAAUUGCCCAUAAACGCGGAUCGUUGCACGCCACCAGAUGUUCUUAAAUCGUCCGGUCUUACUGCAUUAGGAACAUUUAUUAACACCAGAGUCCUGUGGCUUGGCAGGUGGAGUACGUAACGGUUGAGGAAAUCCCCGCCUCAAUUGUUGAGAAAGAGAAAGAGAUUGAAGCCAGCAAGGAGGACUUGGCCAACAAGCCAGAGGCUAUUCGCAGCAAGAUAGUGGAGGGUCGCGUCGCCAAGACUUUGAAUGAACUGGCUCUGUUAGAGCAACCAUUCAUCAGGGACGAUAAAAUUUUGGUAAAGGACUAUAUCAAGCAAACUAUUGCUACUCUGGGUGAGAACAUCCAAGUGAGGCGGUUCACCAGGUUCAACUUAGGAGAGGGUAUUGAAAAGAAGAGUACCGAUUUUGCUGCUGAAGUCGCUGCUCAAACUGGGGCCAAGGCUUAAUCAGGUGCGAAGGCUAGCUUGUAGUAAUAGUUUUAGUUAUUUGCCAUAGAGUUCAAAGAUUAGCAGCAACUAUUAA